UGGGGAAUAUUGCACAAUGGGCGCAAGCCUGAUGCAGCCAUGCCGCGUGUAUGAAGAAGGCCUUCGGGUUGUAAAGUACUUUCAGCGGGGAGGAAGGCGAUAAGGUUAAUAACCUUGUCGAUUGACGUUACCCGCAGAAGAAGCACCGGCUAACUCCGUGCCAGCAGCCGCGGUAAUACGGAGGGUGCAAGCGUUAAUCGGAAUUACUGGGCGUAAAGCGCACGCAGGCGGUCUGUCAAGUCGGAUGUGAAAUCUCCGGGCUCAACCUGGGAACUGCAUUCGAAACUGGCAGGCUAGAGUCUUGUAGAGGGGGGUAGAAUUCCAGGUGUAGCGGUGAAAUGCGUAGAGAUCUGGAGGAAUACCGGUGGCGAAGGCGGCCCCCUGGACAAAGACUGACGCUCAGGUGCGAAAGCGUGGGGAGCAAACA
Molecule: ribosomal RNA, 427 nt
Filed under: uncultured bacterium
Lineage: Bacteria
Description: partial 16S ribosomal RNA
Rfam family: Bacterial small subunit ribosomal RNA
Source: RNAcentral